GAUGAACGCUGGCGGCGUGCCUAAUACAUGCAAGUCGAGCGAACAGACGAGGAGCUUGCUCCUCUGACGUUAGCGGCGGACGGGUGAGUAACACGUGGAUAACCUACCUAUAAGACUGGGAUAACUUCGGGAAACCGGAGCUAAUACCGGAUAAUAUAUUGAACCGCAUGGUUCAAUAGUGAAAGACGGUUUUGCUGUCACUUAUAGAUGGAUCCGCGCCGCAUUAGCUAGUUGGUAAGGUAACGGCUUACCAAGGCAACGAUGCGUAGCCGACCUGAGAGGGUGAUCGGCCACACUGGAACUGAGACACGGUCCAGCCUCCUACGGGAGGAAGCAGUAGGGAAUCUUCCGCAAUGGGCGGAAGCCUGACGGAGCAACGCCGCGUGAGUGAUGAAGGUCUUCGGAUCGUAAAACUCUGUUAUUAGGGAAGAACAAAUGUGUAAGUAACUAUGCACGUCUUGACGGUACCUAAUCAGAAAGCCACGGCUAACUACGUG
Molecule: ribosomal RNA, 497 nt
Filed under: uncultured bacterium
Lineage: Bacteria
Description: partial 16S ribosomal RNA
Rfam family: Bacterial small subunit ribosomal RNA
Source: RNAcentral